AUUGAACGCUGGCGGCAUGCCUUACACAUGCAAGUCGAACGGCAGCACGGGAGCAAUCCUGGUGGCGAGUGGCGAACGGGUGAGUAAUGCAUCGGAACGUGCCAUUGAGUGGGGGAUAACGUAGCGAAAGUUACGCUAAUACCGCAUAUUCUGUGCGCAGGAAAGCAGGGGAUCGCAAGACCUUGCGCUCUUUGAGCGGCCGAUGUCAGAUUAGCUAGUUGGUGAGGUAAAGGCUCACCAAGGCGACGAUCUGUAGCGGGUCUGAGAGGAUGAUCCGCCACACUGGGACUGAGACACGGCCCAGACUCCUACGGGAGGCAGCAGUGGGGAAUUUUGGACAAUGGGGGCAACCCUGAUCCAGCCAUGCCGCGUGAGUGAAGAAGGGCCUUCGGGUCGUAAAGCUCGUUUCGGCCGGGAAGAAAUCGCACAGGUUAAUACCCUGUGUGGAUGACGGUACCGGACUAAGAAGCACCGGCUAACUACG
Molecule: ribosomal RNA, 484 nt
Filed under: uncultured bacterium
Lineage: Bacteria
Description: bacterial SSU rRNA
Rfam family: Bacterial small subunit ribosomal RNA
Source: RNAcentral